GAUGAACGCUGGCGGCGUGCUUAACACAUGCAAGUCGAACGGGAAACAUUUUAUUGAAGCUUCGGCAGAUUUAGCUUGUUUCUAGUGGCGGACGGGUGAGUAACGCGUGGGUAACCUGCCUUAUACCGGGGGAUAACAGCCAGAAAUGACUGCUAAUACCGCAUAAGCGCACAGAACCGCAUGGUUCCGUGUGAAAAACUCCGGUGGUAUAAGAUGGACCCGCGUUGGAUUAGCUAGUUGGCAGGGCAGCGGCCUACCAAGGCGACGAUCCAUAGCCGGCCUGAGAGGGUGAACGGCCACAUUGGGACUGAGACACGGCCCAGACUCCUACGGGAGGCAGCAGUGGGGAAUAUUGCACAAUGGGGGAAACCCUGAUGCAGCGACGCCGCGUGAAGGAAGAAGUAUCUCGGUAUGUAAACUUCUAUCAGCAGGGAAGAUAAUGACGGUACCUGACUAAGAAGCCCCGGCUAACUACGUGCCAGCAGCCGCGGUAAUACGUAGGGGGCAAGCGUUAUCCGGAUUUACUGGGUGUAAAGGGAGCGUAGACGGCGCAGCAAGUCUGAUGUGAAAGGCAGGGGCUUAACCCCUGGACUGCAUUGGAAACUGCUGUGCUUGAGUGCCGGAGGGGUAAGCGGAAUUCCUAGUGUAGCGGUGAAAUGCGUAGAUAUUAGGAGGAACACCAGUGGCGAAGGCGGCUUACUG
This 702-nucleotide ribosomal RNA is filed under the name uncultured Lachnospiraceae bacterium. RNAcentral's name for it is "bacterial SSU rRNA". It matches the Rfam family "Bacterial small subunit ribosomal RNA", at positions 28 to 731 of the family's 1533-position model. Lineage: Bacteria; Bacillati; Bacillota; Clostridia; Lachnospirales; Lachnospiraceae. The record is from RNAcentral.